UACGUAGGGUGCAAGCGUUGCCCGGAUUUAUUGGGCGUAAAGGGCGCGUAGGCGGUCACGCACGUCCGUUGUGAAAUCUCCGAGCUUAACUCGGAACGGUCAACUGAUACUGUGCGGCUAGAGUGCGGAAGGGGCAACUGGAAUUCUUGGUGUAGCGGUGAAAUGCGUAGAUAUCAAGAGGAACACCUGCGGCGAAGGCGGGUUGCUGGGCCGACACUGACGCUGAGGCGCGAAAGCCAGGGGAGCGAACGGG
RNAcentral lists this ribosomal RNA (253 nucleotides) under uncultured bacterium. RNAcentral describes it as "partial 16S ribosomal RNA". It matches the Rfam family "Bacterial small subunit ribosomal RNA", at positions 524 to 776 of the family's 1533-position model. The record is from RNAcentral.